Molecule: ribosomal RNA, 253 nt
Filed under: uncultured bacterium
Lineage: Bacteria
Description: partial 16S ribosomal RNA
Rfam family: Bacterial small subunit ribosomal RNA
Source: RNAcentral
UACAGGGGGUGCAAACGUUGCUCGGAAUCAUUGGGCGUAAAGCGCACGUAGGCGGUUUGUUAUGUCGGAUGUGAAAGCCCUUGGCUCAACUGAGGAAGUGCAUCCGAAACUGGCAAGCUAGAGUACUAAAGAGGGUCGCGGAAUUCCCGGUGUAGAGGUGAAAUUCGUAGAUAUCGGGAGGAACACCGGUGGCGAAGGCGGCGACCUGGGUAGAUACUGACGCUGAGGCGCGAAAGCGUGGGGAGCAAACAGG